This 420-nucleotide ribosomal RNA is filed under the name uncultured bacterium. Its description in RNAcentral is "bacterial SSU rRNA". It matches the Rfam family "Bacterial small subunit ribosomal RNA", at positions 355 to 774 of the family's 1533-position model. The record is from RNAcentral.
UAAGGAAUAUUGCUCAAUGCGAGAAAUCCUGAAGCAGCAACGCCGCGUGGAGGAUGAAGGGUCUAUGACUUGUAAACUCCUGUAAAGAAGGAAAAAAUUCCCAUUUGAUGGGAGAUGAUGGUACUUCUGGAGUAAGCCCCGGCUAACUACGUGCCAGCAGCCGCGGUAAUACGUAGGGGGCAAGCGUUGUCCGGAUUUACUGGGUGUAAAGGGUGCUCAGGCGGAUUUGUAAGUCAGAGGUGAAAUCUUACAGCUUAACUGUGAAACUGCCUUUGAUACUGCAAGCCUAGAGUAUGGAAGAGAGUGAUGGAAUAUCUGGUGUAGCAGUGAAAUGCGUAGAUAUCAGAUAGAACACCAAUGGCGAAGGCAGUCACUUGGUCCAUUACUGACGCUAAAGCACGAAAGCGUGGGUAGCAAACA